AUUGAACGCUGGCGGCAGGCCUAACACAUGCAAGUCGAGCGGAUGAAGGGAGCUUGCUCCUGGAUUCAGCGGCGGACGGGUGAGUAAUGCCUAGGAAUCUGCCUGGUAGUGGGGGAUAACGUCCGGAAACGGGCGCUAAUACCGCAUACGUCCUGAGGGAGAAAGUGGGGGAUCUUCGGACCUCACGCUAUCAGAUGAGCCUAGGUCGGAUUAGCUAGUUGGUGGGGUAAAGGCCUACCAAGGCGACGAUCCGUAACCGGUCUGAGAGGAUGAUCAGUCACACUGGAACUGAGACACGGUCCAGACUCCUACGGGAGGCAGCAGUGGGGAAUAUUGGACAAUGGGCGAAAGCCUGAUCCAGCCAUGCCGCGUGUGUGAAGAAGGCCUUCGGAUUGUAAAGCACUUUAAGUUGGGAGGAAGGGCAGUAAGUUAAUACCUUGCUGUUUUGACGUUACCAACAGAAUAAGCACCGGCUAACUUCGUG
Molecule: ribosomal RNA, 484 nt
Filed under: uncultured bacterium
Lineage: Bacteria
Description: partial 16S ribosomal RNA
Rfam family: Bacterial small subunit ribosomal RNA
Source: RNAcentral